Molecule: long non-coding RNA, 3160 nt
Organism: Ooceraea biroi (clonal raider ant)
Lineage: Eukaryota; Metazoa; Arthropoda; Insecta; Hymenoptera; Formicidae
Source: RefSeq, a predicted model, not a curated record
CGCGAGGAAGAAACACAAGAUGAAACCGAACCCGACCGAAAUCACGCGACAGAUCAGUAGGUACUUGUUCAGGAUCUCAUACUCGCCACCAGCUCAAUGAAGUUUUGAAUUUUUUAAUCGUGUGCAGAUGAUUCUAUGAAUUCCUGAAGCUUAAGAUUUCUCUGUUCUAUUUCGCUCUCUUCACUUAUAUUUUAUUUUAGUGCCUUCUAAUUUUAGAAUUUUGAAACUUUUAUGUAAAUCGAUGUAAAUUUUCAUGUAAAUCGACUUCAAGAUAAGCAGAAGGAUGCGUAGAAUUUGUGUUUGAAGUACGGGUACUAAGUGAGCAAAUGAAGAUCCAAGGAGAAAGUGCAAUUACGUUCGCCGAUGUAGCUGCGUGCGCGUCCUUCAGCACUCCGUGAUGCGAUAUUAGAAUUAGCGAAACUUGAUAUGUGGUUUCAAAGAAACGUCACGUGUCUCGCCGGAGACACAUGUAUCAAGCGCGAUUAUGUAAAGUGCACAGUAAUCUUGUAUGAAUGAGUGCGUAGAUCCUUAAUCGCGUGUCAAGGGGAUACGUCGCGAGGAAGGAUUGGCAGAAGUCGCCAUGAAAAAUCACUCGAGUGGUGCUGAAUUAAGGAGAGGUGGAGGGCAGUCUACGGAGUCGCGAUGGUCCUCUCGCGGAUGCUGCGGAGUCCCUUUCGACGUGCGGAUCCCAUUAAAACGUGAAAUUGCAUGGUGUUCUGUCGUCGCGCUUGCUCGACGGCAAACACCAUUUACGUGACUUGUCACUAAAGCCAUUUGCAAAGGCAUUUCACUUCUACAAAUUGAUUCUAUAUAAACUUCUCUGUGAAUAACAUGAGAUUAUGUGAGCAGUAAUAUGAGUAUUAUAUUUCAUUAGCGGCAGUUAUCGCAACCAGGAGAAAUAUGAAAGAAGGAUAUAAGCGUAGGUAGAAAUAUGAAAGAGGAACGCUUGGUGAUUUUACUCACUGGUCAAUUUGCAAAGUUGAUCGCAGCUCUUGAUGGUCGCAUGGAGUAAUCGUGCGAUCUGUUCACGGUGAGCUUGGAAGAUCAGCAUUUUGAAGAAUAUCAUGAAGACCCCGACGAAUACGCAUACGUUGUCGGUGACGACCAAGAAAUCGUCGAAAUUCAGGCAUCUCAAUAAUAUGGGAGAGUCCGAAUCAAGCAUCCACAAGCCGAUAUAUCUGCGUAAAUUACAAACGUAGAAGCUCAGGACUCAGAGCUUAUUAAAAAAUCACACAAACGAAACGUGAGUGCAAAUUGUGAGAUGCAAGUUUUAUAAAUUCUGUAACACAUUUUACUAUUAUAAUAUUGUAAUAUCUAUGACUUCUGUGUAACAUUCUAUAAAGCGUAUUUGUGAUUAGAUAUCAAGCAAUUACAAGUUUCAAGUUGUACAGAAAAUCUCAAAAAGCCAAGUUCCAGGAAGGAAAGAAUACUGUCUUUCUAUAUUCUUCAUUCUCAAGGAAACUUGGUGAAAAUGAAAUACACAACUUUAUCUGUUUCUUAAAAAGCAAUCAGGUAAUACGACCUUUAACAACUCACGUGACAAACGAUAUCAAAUCACAUCCAUACGUUGAUAUCUAUGAUUCUCACUUUAGAUACGUUUUGUAUAGAGUGUUUAGCUUCCGGAACUGCUCUAAACGGUUGCUGAUCGUCCUUCGUGCCAUUCCUGCAUGAAUCUGCUUCGUGACUGUGACGAUGAAGGACUUGCGCUAGGGCAUAGGGGGUCACCUGUAUCGCGUGGGUGCACCUCCUCGAGCGGCAUCAAAGUACACGUCGUUAUCGAGGAGGUCGUUUGGAUUCAUACGCCCCCUCUCCUGUCGGAAAAUUGCCCAUGAUAAACGGCGAGCGCGAUUGUACUGUCAUUUUUCGAAUUAUAGACUCUCGCUCGUGCGGCACAUAUUGUGUGCUUUUUUCCCCCUUUUUUCCUUUCUUUCUUAUUCAGCUCGGCCAAUAAUUUAUGAAAGUGACGGUAGUUGCAUCGCAAUUGCAUAAUCCGCGUUUUGCAUGACAAACUGCUUUGCAUGGGUGUCGAUAGGAUUUUUUUCAUGGAAGAUUUUAUGUGUGUAUUGUCUUUUAUAUUAAAUUUAUAUAAAGGUAUGUAAAAAUAUAAUUAAACAGUUCCUUGCAGUCGAUUUUAAUAAUAAUCUGUUUUUCAUAUUUUUACAUCUCUUAUUUUAUUCUACUAAGAACUCAACUAAAUAGAGCGUAUUCUCUUUGCGGCACCCAUGGACACGAUAAGAGGCCAAUAAAAAACAAUUUACGAAGCUGCAAUCGACGAACGUCUAAAACGACCUAUGUCGUUUUCUACUUAUCGGAAAUAAUCGACUCGGCUGCAAUUCAUCAAUGUGUGUUUUGUCACAGAACGAUUCCGUCACUUCGAGUACAGAAUAUUGUCAGUCAUAUCUUUACAACGAUACCGUGAUUUUCUCGUGAUGUUGUUUGUGAAAACAAGCUAGACGCUUUUCGAAGUCAGAAAUAUCAAUGGACAUGGUACAAAACUUGUAAAAUCGGCAAAAGGAUAUGUCAGAAGUGGGAUUCGAACCCACGCCCUCAGAGAGGACCAGAAAGCCCAUCACUCGGUAUUGAACCGAGAAGGUGUGAACCUUGAGUCUGGCGCCUUAGACCGCUCGGCCAUCCUGACAGUUGAGUGUGGCUAUCUUAUUAUUCUAUAUCUUGCACAUAUUCACAUGUACAUGCAAAACACGUGUUCAAGUGUAAUGUAAAAAAUAUGCACAGGUAUAUUCCGCGUCAUUUCAUAAAAAAUUUUAGGAAUUUUCCGCACAACUAAAGCAUAGUGUCUGAUAUAAAUUUUUUUAAAUAUUCUGUUAAUUAACAAAAUGCAAAAACAAUUUCAAUGUAACGUUAUAUACAGUUUUAAGUAGAAAUAUGAACAUAUUUGCGCUUUAAGUUGAUACAUUUUUUUUCUUUACUAAUGCCGUUUAUGUGUACAAAAGAGUAUGUCAGAAGUGGGAUUCGAACCCACGCCCUCAGAGAGGACCAGAAAACCCUGAACUCGGUUUUGAACCGAGAAGGUAUGAACCUUGAGUCUGGCGCCUUAGACCGCUCGGCCAUCCUGACAUUUGAACACGUAGCUUGUACAGUCAUUACAUGAGACCGACCACUUUACGUUUGUACUAUAAAUAUAUAUAUAUAUAUAUAUAUA